This 72-nucleotide transfer RNA is filed under the name Camelus bactrianus (Bactrian camel). It matches the Rfam family "tRNA". From Rfam's summary of the family: Transfer RNA (tRNA) molecules are approximately 80 nucleotides in length. Their secondary structure includes four short double-helical elements and three loops (D, anti-codon, and T loops). Lineage: Eukaryota; Metazoa; Chordata; Mammalia; Artiodactyla; Camelidae. RNAcentral also lists the same sequence under 2 other names. The record is from Rfam by way of RNAcentral.
GAGGGUAUAGCUCAGUGAUAGAGUGCAUGCCUAGCAUGCAUGAGGUCCUGGGUACAAUCCCCAGUAGCUCCA